ACCACGGGACACAAACCCUGUUGUCUUCCCGUUUAUGGCUGAGGAAACAGAACCCCCAAAGUCUCAAGGAUAGCCUGCCCGCCCCCUUUGCAGAGCUGUCCUGUAGCUGGAGUCUAAGCUUGCUCUUGGCCUCUGCACCCACCGACCGAUCAUCAACGAAGCGGCCCUUGCCAGUUGACCACAGAGGGCUGUAACUCACGGAUGUGUGCACUGGAAAAAGGCGAUCUGUGACGACAAAGAGGACUUCUUCUGCCCCAUGGUUACUCAACGAGGGAGUGAAUUUCACCCAAAAGUAGAAAAUGAGAGUGGGGAAAGAGACUCCAACGUUCUUUCCUUUCUCUGUGUGCACAACUUCCGGUUCCCGCACCCUUUAAAGGCAGCCUCCUUCCAUUCUGUUGCUAACACCAUGAGGCUCACAGGGCAGACUUCUUACCGUCUCCCUUUUACUGAAGAUGAAAAACGCAGGCCCCGACAGCUCAAGGACCAGCCAAAGGCCAUUGACAACGCUGCAGGGUAAAUUUAACAGGAUUGUCACAGGAUUAAAAGAUGCAAGUCAUGGACCGCGUGGAAUCUGUCUUCCUGUGCAAAAUCGGAGGGCUGGACCGCAGCUGGGCUUACCACUGACCAAAUCAGGCUGGCAGCCAGAGGAUACCCAAGAAAGCCCAAUUUCCUGAGACCUGCAACUUCCCACCAGACACAGCAAUGCUUCUUCUGAACUUUUGAGCCCAUUUUACAGAAGAAAGUGUGAAGGUCAGAGGAGACUUAUGAAGCUGGCAAAACUACAACAAGGAACCCC
Non-coding RNA from Peromyscus maniculatus bairdii (prairie deer mouse), 796 nucleotides. NCBI's taxonomy places the organism in Eukaryota, Metazoa, Chordata, Mammalia, Rodentia, Cricetidae. The record is from RefSeq and is a predicted model, not a curated record.